This 463-nucleotide unclassified non-coding RNA is filed under the name Hevea brasiliensis (rubber tree). The record is from RNAcentral. Lineage: Eukaryota; Viridiplantae; Streptophyta; Magnoliopsida; Malpighiales; Euphorbiaceae.
CAGAAGCUACUGCAGACGCUAACAGCCUCUUGUCGCCAUAUCAAUUCAUCUAUAGAUAAAGAGAGAGAGCUUUGGUUUCUGGAGACAAAGCUUAAACCAAACCAACAACAAUGGCAACCUGUGGUACACCGCCUUCCUUGAUGCUAACUUAUGCCGCUUCUACUGUACACCCACAAGACCUCACUCCUUCUAUCCUCUCCUUUAAGUCCAAAACUUUUUCCUAUCCACCGGCUUUGGGUUCUGGUGGUGAGAGAAAAUCAAACAAGGGCCUCAAUUUGUAUACACAAAAAGAGGCAAAGUUUGGAACUUGCAGUGUGGUUGUAGCCGCUGCUUUGGCUGCAGAGUCAGAGGUGGCAGAGGUGGCUGAGGAAGCGGAGGAGACAGGAGGUGAUGCAGCCACGGCUACAGUUGCUCCACCGAAGCCUAAGAAAGGGAAGGCUGCAUUGCCCUUGAAGAGAGACAG